This 693-nucleotide ribosomal RNA is filed under the name uncultured bacterium. Its description in RNAcentral is "bacterial SSU rRNA". It matches the Rfam family "Bacterial small subunit ribosomal RNA", at positions 94 to 820 of the family's 1533-position model. The record is from RNAcentral.
AGUGGCGGACGGGUGAGUAACGCGUAAGAAUCUACCUUCAGGUUCGGGACAACCACUGGAAACGGUGGCUAAUACCGAAUGUGCCGAGAGGUGAAAGGCUUGCUGCCUGAAGAAGAGCUUGCGUCUGAUUAGCUAGUUGGUGUGGUAAAGGCGCACCAAGGCGACGAUCAGUAGCUGGUCUGAGAGGAUGAUCAGCCACACUGGGACUGAGACACGGCCCAGACUCCUACGGGAGGCAGCAGUGGGGAAUUUUCCGCAAUGGGCGAAAGCCUGACGGAGCAAUACCGCGUGAGGGAGGAAGGCUCUUGGGUUGUAAACCUCUUUUCUCAGGGAAUAAAAAAAUGACGGUACCUGAGGAAUAAGCAUCGGCUAACUCCGUGCCAGCAGCCGCGGUAAUACGGAGGAUGCAAGCGUUAUCCGGAAUGAUUGGGCGUAAAGGGUCCGCAGGUGGCAUUGUUUGUCUGCUGUUAAAGAGUCUGGCUCAACCAGAUCAAAGCAGUGGAAACUACAAAGCUAGAGUAUGAUCGGGGCAGAGGGAAUUCCUGGUGUAGCGGUGAAAUGCGUAGAUAUCAGGAAGAACACCGGUGGCGAAGGCGCUCUGCUAGGCCAAAACUGACACUGAGGGACGAAAGCUAGGGGAGCGAAUGGGAUUAGAUACCCCAGUAGUCCUAGCCGUAAACGAUGGAUACUAGG